This is a small nucleolar RNA of Alosa alosa (allis shad), 214 nucleotides long. RefSeq annotates it as small nucleolar RNA U3. The record is from RefSeq and is a predicted model, not a curated record. The transcript has a single exon. Lineage: Eukaryota; Metazoa; Chordata; Actinopteri; Clupeiformes; Clupeidae.
AAGACUAUACUUUCAGGGAUCAUUUCUAUAGUUAUUGACAUGGAAAUGCGUUUCUAAAGUGUUGUGUCUCGCUACCCACGAUGAUGAGUAUCGAUGUUCUCCUCUGAGCGCGAAUCGGAUAGAAGUUGUUGGAAUUAUCCAUGUGACUUCUGUCAUUGAUGAACGUUCCCAUGGAUUUCGGUCUUUGGGAGGAGGAGGACAUGAUCAGAGUGGU